Long non-coding RNA from Prinia subflava (tawny-flanked prinia), 7354 nucleotides. RefSeq lists it as uncharacterized. The record is from RefSeq and is a predicted model, not a curated record. The transcript is spliced from 2 exons. NCBI's taxonomy places the organism in Eukaryota, Metazoa, Chordata, Aves, Passeriformes, Cisticolidae.
AGUUAGCCUUAGUGGAAAUAAUGUCUAUAUUAUUGCUUAUACAGAUCACUUUCCUGUACAACUUCUGACACGCUAGUGUAGGCAUAGCAUUUUUUUUCUAAGUCUUGUGUGAGAAAUUGCUUAGCCCCAGUCUGGUAUGUAAAAGACAAGAUUGACCCUUUGUGAAAAGGUAAAUGCCUGCACUUCCUGAAGUGAUAGGAUUUGAUGUAGCAAGAGUCCCUGCAGAAGUACAGCAAAGUGACGACAUCCUGUAUUCAUUAGGAGAAAAGAUAGGUGAAUUUAGGGGUAAUCUGAAUUGAUGGCAUCACUUUCUUUUAUGCUUAGUUGCAGCAUUAGUGAAUUUUAAAGAAAAAAAGGUGUUGUAGACACGUUUGGGAGCACAUUUCCUGCAGCUGAAGUCUAAGAGCAAUCCUGUAAACAAAGACACCGCUAUUAGAACCACAACUGAAAUAAGGUCAUACCAUUUGCCUUGUGACCAAAAUCCCAGCACAGCACAGACAUUGAGACAUUGGGACUUCUCUUCAUCUUUGUAAGCUUGGUGAUAGCAAGCAAAAUUCUCAACGAGGCCUACUGUGCCAGGGUGUUUUAUGUGUGUUGUGGUGCCCAAGCCAAGGAGACCAAGGAACACAGCUCUUGAGGUUAUGUCUCAGUCAUUUCCUUUUGAAAUGGCAUGUGCCCUGUGCCCCUUAGUGAAUGGCACUGAGUUUAAGCUGACAUUUAAGAAGUGAUAAGCCAACAGACCUUAAAAAAGAAACUUUUUACAAUAGAAAACUUCCUGUUGUUUAUAAAUGUGAAGAAUUAACUCUAUUGAUUAACUCAAAUUUUAGAACAGCCUAAUUAGAACAGCUCCUGAUAAGGAAACAGGGAUUAAUGACUUUAUUGGAAUGCAAAUACAGUGAAAAAGAACUGAACACCAGCUGUGAACUCAAGGUAAAAAGAAAUUCAAUUCGUGAAUUACAAUCAACAUUGCUCAAAAAACUCCUUUGCAACUACAGAGCUGCUUAGCACAGGAAGCGAAGGGAGGCCACAGGAGCUGCUGUUUUCUCCUGUUUAUAUAAUGUUAUUAAUGUCGAUGGCAUUUCUCCAGCAAAUGUUUCACAUAAAUCAUGUUUCAUCCCUAUGAUGAAGUGAUGGCAUAAAGGAAUAUUACAGAUGCCCUGUGAUCUACCUAAAGCUAAAUGCUUGCUUAGGUUUCAAUAGUUUUCCAUUGACAGGAGAGAAAAAGCUGAUUAAAACCAUAAAUUUAUGUUCUCAUGUACAUUUCUCAGAUGGAGGUUAAGAUUUUCAAAUCUCCCUCUCUUCUGCACUUACCCAUUCCAUAUCUCUAUAAUAUCCUUUUUCUAUUCUAAUUUCUUCUAUAUCUUCCCAUGUGUAGAGCUAUUUGACACAUUUAACGCCACCAUUUCCAUCUUCAUGUUGCAUCUGCUGUCUAUCUUGAUACCCUUUCUUUCUUCCUUCCAAAUCUAUUCUAUCUUCUGAGUUGUAUGAUUUCUGGAGCUUUCUGUACCCAUUUAGGACUGUCACAUUUCCAUAUUUAUUUCAGUACAUGAUUUUUAACUCUUGUCUAAUCCAGUGUUUCUGGACUUACAGACCUUAUGUUUUGUUUCUUUGUUUUCAAGAAGGACACAUUUCCAAUGAUAUUAUUGGAACAAAUCAGGACAGACCUACCUAGCCCAUUCUUAGAUUGAUAUUCCAGGUCUCAGCUACUGCUGGUAGGUUCCUGUGCUUUGGUUUCUCACAAGGGAGCCUCCCUGCCUGUGGCACACAGAGGCUGCACCUGUGUGUUUCUGAGGGCUCUCACAGAAGAGCUUCAAGACAGAGCAACAGCUAAGUGGCAUCCACCAGAGCCUGCAUAAAACUGCAAGGCUGGGUAGCUCUUAAACUACCAGGAAGGAGCAGUUUGCGUUUCUUUGGCACUUGCUCCAGCUGCACUCCAGCAGUCCGGCGUGGCAGGCCAGAAUCCAUUCACCACGGUGCACUGCUGCGAGCAUGUGUUGUGGAGCGCAGCGUUCCCAGCCCUUCUGGCUGCCAGUGUCAGUAUCAGGCCUGCUGGUCUCCUCACAUGCUUUCAACUAUUUCAUUCCUCCUCACAUCCUGUUUGUUGCCUGCUGUUUUUCUCCUGUUGCAGCUGUUUUUUCCAUUCUUUCCAGUCCACCCAGUUUUGCAGUCCAGCUGUCCCUCCCAGCUGCCAUGGACUCCACCAUCUCCCAAAUUCCACCCUUUCUGCUGCUGCAGGGGCAUCACCCACAGUCUCACUCUCCCUCUGCAGGAAAUAACUAUCAUUCCUGCUGUACUGCACACCAUGGCUAUUGGAGGACAUCAGUUAAAUAACUGAAUUGUCUUGAGACUGAGCACUAUGUAAGGAUUACAGCAUGAUCGUAUUUUUUCUGAGCAAUCAACUUUAUGUAAUGGGAAACUCCAUCCAAAGCUGGAUCCUAGGAAAAAGCUGUGUCAGAGUUUUAAGUACAUGUUACCCUCAUCUAGUGCAGCAUUAUGCAGGAACUUCACACUUCCAUGAAACAAUCCCUCAAAAGGACAAAUUUGGCCCAGGAAUAUUGUGUCUGAAUGGUAAUCUCUCUUGAGAAAUCAGUUUCCUUUUCUGCAUAUUACAAACUCUCUUGGAUUCUGAGAUACACAUUCCUUUUUCUGGGAGAAAAUCCAUGACCCCAGAUAAUUAAUUAGCUUUAACAGUCAACAGGAAAAUGGAACUGCCAUUUAUCUUUCAGCUUGACUUUGUGUACAGGCUCAGGCAAUUAUAUCUCCAUCUUUUAGUUAAUUUUAUCUGCUACAGACUCAGUUAAAUUUGCUUGCAGAUUUCAGUUAUUUCCUGAAAAUCUGCAGGAUAUGAGCAAUUGCUGUUUAUAUAUUAAUCACUGAAAUGUUUUAUCCUGACUUCCUAAGGAAAUAAAGCUUACAUGAGCAAUCCAUAUGUUUGUGUGAAUACUUCUUUAUCUCUUUUUUCACCCUGCCUUGUUUAUAUAGAAUUUACUAAUUUCAACCUAACUGAAAAAGAAAAGUUGUUCUUUUAGAGAUUAAUUGUGCACUUGUUAGAUGCUUGCUUGCUGCUAAUAGUUUUGUAUUUUUUUUCUCUCCUGUUCACUGAGGAGAAGAUUGCAAUAUGAACUUUCCAUGUAUUAGACUCAGGAAAAUCUACUCCAAAUCAAUGAGUAUCCAAACCAUAAGAAAAUCUUCUGCUGAUGAACAUAAGUUAUGCACAAGGAACCAACACCAGCAGUUUUGCUGCUCAUAGAAUUUCCAGGUUCCUUUGCUUGAUUUUCUUGCCAUCCUGAAUGCUGGACCAUGUGACAAUUUAUACAUGUAAUUUUUCCAUGAGGCCAGGAUAUGCUUGUGUCUGGAAUUGACUCAUAUCUACUAGCUUCCACCAAGAAAUGCUGUAAGUUUCUGGUAUGCCAUGAGUGGCACAGAAUAGUGUGGGAUAUGACACCAUCUAUGCCCUGUGCUGCUCAGAAGUUGUGUCCUCUGAGAAUUGAGGUCUACAGAUGGAGCAGGUUAAAAAAAAAUAAAAGAGCUGUCAGUCUUGUGCUCAGAGCACCCAUCUAGGAGAAGACAAUGCAGUUGUAUUACUCUCCACUCAAAUUUGUGCUUUUGCAGCCUCUUUGUCCCUGGAGCAAAUUCACGAAGGUGCAAGUGGCAGCAGGGGAAGGAAGUAACAGAAAUUUGCCAAAAUGAUGACAUUAUGAUUGACUGAAGUAGCACAGCUGACCCAGGAGAGGAUGCACACUUUGAGGGCGGGCAUGAAUCUUCACUGCCUCUGGGCUUACACAGUCAGAUACAAGAGGAUAACUCAGGAAUCACCUCCUUCAUGGUUUCAAGAGCUGUGCAAAGACUGAGGAACUCGAGAACCUGGAGUUCAGACUCAGCUGAGUUGCAGGACAGGACAGUCCUUGUCACAGAAGGCAAAUACCCUAACUUCUUACCAGAAAGAGAAGAGGUACUGCAAUUUAGCAUAAGAAUGAAUCUACCUCUUUGGUUCGAUAAUGUAAGGUAAUACUUGGGGCAAAAAAAGGAGAACAACCGAGUUCCUUGAAAUUUUAUUACCAUAUGUAUUCAAGAUGGUAAUAACAUUGUAGCUGUACACUCUCAGAGAUACAGGCAAGUGCUCUUUCUGGGAAAGAUAACUUAGGUGAUAAUUAUUUUGUGCAGAUGUAUACAGUUGUUGAAAAUACCACUUGGAGAGCACAAGUUCCUCUCCAACUGUCCUACUCUUGUCUGAUUUUUUUAAAACUUUCACCUGAUCUAAAUGUACCUAUUUUAUAUAUCCUUGGUCAAAUUUGAAUUACACUUAGAAGUAUAGCUUUAGGUUGUUAUGGUUUAUUAUUUCUGUUCUGAAAUGCAAAUUCUUUGUCCCACACAUGGUGAACCCUGUCAUGUUAGUUCCUACAGAAAUAAAGAAUAAAAGGUGAUGACAGGCUAAGUUAAUACCUAAUUUGUUCUUCAUCUCAUGCACUGGGGGAGUAACCUUACCAUAUUUUUAGAUGAGUCCUAAAGGUUUGCAAUCAGCACAUAUUGUAAUGAUGUAACAAAUUGCCUCAUUUUUGCAUAUAUGCCAAAAUCCCUAAUGUAAACGUGCACAAGGUUAUUUGAAAAUGCACCGUGAAAGCAGAAGAGGCAGUAAGUGUCAUGGCAGUUCAUUUUAGAAGGAUUGCUCUUGUUUCAAGUUUUCAAACGUCUCCAUUAUUCUGAUGUAUUUCUUUCCAAAAGAGAAAUCUAAGUCUUAAGCCUUAAAUAUUUUUUAGUGCACAUGGAGAGUUUUCCUCUCUAUGUGUCAGUAUUGUAUUUCAACAAAAUAUGAAGAGAAUUACACAGUCACGGCCACUUUGGUCUUCACUGGCAUAAUAAUAGUUGCAAUGAACAGCCUACUUUCAGGGCAGCAAGUGACAGGAAUGCCACAGCUUUUCUAAAAUGAGGAAGAUCUUACUAACAAAAGAGUUAAUUUUCAUGAAGAAGUUCUAACUGAGAAAUUUUUCACCUCUCAUUUUAAUGCAUGUUGUUCCAGAACUGUCUGGUCUUUUAUAUUUGCAUAUUUUAUAUCUAUCAAAUUUUGCUUGUAUCCCAGAAGUUAUAAGAAAUAAGGGCUUUACCAGUAAAGAGAGCUACUUUGCAGGAGGCCACAAGUUGAUUUUACAGAAACUCAAAGCUAACAUGGCAAGAGACCAUAUUUUUUAAAGGGAAGAACUCCUUAUUGAUAACUACCUGUCAAUAAUUUAUAAGGGAAGUACUAAAAUCACUGCAUUUUUUAUAUCAAUUCAAUUUGAAAAUACAGAGUUACUAUUUUUUUCUUUUAAUAAAAGUCCUAUAUUUUACUUAGUUACAACCUCAGAUCUUGGCUCUUCUAUAUGUCUGUGCCCUUAAAUAUUAAUGCAAAACACUUGGGAAUGCAGUUGUUUGGGAAUUCUUCAAUGAAACAAUUUUUUAGCUGGAAAAUACUCAGUAUAAACCAACAUCCUUGCAAGAACCUAAGUCCUUCAACAGGGCUUUUACUGAAAUGCAAUACUCUUGAGAGUGAGAGGUGUAAUAGGUGCCUUGUGGUCAUGAAACUCCUGGGAGCUAAGCAACAAACUCACAAGUGUCUUCUGUCUCAUUUAAGUGUUGGCCCUGAGAUUUUUUUUUCUUGAUCUGCCUUGUGUGAGGGAAACCACUGUGGAGCUAGUGCAAUAUUUGUCUGCUUGUGAUGCUGGGUCCUGAGCUUCACAGCUUUGUUGCAGGGAAUUUGAACAAAAUACACAAAUACAGAAAGUCGCAAUCCAUUUGUAGAAAAACCUCUGUAGGGUUGAUUUCCUGGUGUCUGGAGCAUAUUUCUGGGACAGGAAGAAAUGGCAGACCUGCAGACUGAAUCUGCUUUUCACAUACCAGGUAAAUUGCUCUUAUUGUCAGGCUAUUACCUGUGCAUUCAUUAAACUGAAAGUGUUUAGUGGCGUUUAAUAAAGACAAGGAACAUUUAAGAAACCUUAACAAGUUUUACAGGAUAAAAAAGCCUAAUUUCCUAGUCUAACCUGAUAUUGAGCAUCUUUCAUCGAUAGGGAACAGGUUUAAAUAAAAAAUGUUACAAAUAAUUAAAAACUUAUUUCAGUUUGACUGUUAUUAUAUUUAUAUUCUGAUACAAUUAACAUUAAAAAUUACUUUUGUUAGCAGUGAAAUCUGGUACUCCAUGAUUGACAAUGUUCUCUACACAGAAAGGGAGAAUCUUUCUUGAAAAAAUUGACAGAAACUGCGAAGAACUUCAUAUAUUUUCCAAGACAAUGUUUUAACAAUUUUUGAUAAAAACCCAGUGGGUCCUAGAUUAUAUGCCUAAGGUGUAAUUUUAAAACUAUCAGGUGACACAAUGCUGUAAUUCAAUAACAACUGUUAUUAACAUAGCAAGAGAAAAAUGUUUGGUGAAGAGAGAAACAGGCCUCUUUUUUUUUUUUUUUUUUUUUUUUUUUUUUUUUUUUUUUUUUUUUAAUUGUGUAUGUCAACCUUUUUUUGCUGCACUUAUGUCUGGGCUGUUUUUCCAUUUUGAGGCUAAAUGCAAAUUCAGAUUAUAAAUGCCUUCUUCUAAAGAAUACUUACUGGAUAAAGAAAAGCCUAAACCAGUAUGUAUUAGCAGUUAUUUUCUUUUGUAAGCAGGAUCAACACAAACAGUGCUUCCAGACAAUGAUGAUUAAUGGUUCAAAACUAUAGAUCUGCAUUAUGUAAUGCAUCUCAUAUUCUUGAAAUGAGGAUUGUAAUUUGUCAUUGUUCUCUGGAGCUAAAAUUACAACAGGUAAUUUGCAAGAAUAGAUUGUAGUGUUUUAUAAUUGCUUUUUAAAAUUCAUAUGGUCUUAUAUCUGAAUAAAUAUUACAUCUCAGAGCAAUGCAUUAAUUUUCUGUGUAGUGACGUGCAAUGGCUAGAUAAUCAAUUAUACCUUUUGUUGAUCUAAAAUUACCUCUAUCAGAUUUAUCAUAUGGUGUGGUACCCUGUAAGUAGUACCAAAAUACAAGCACACUCCUCUCACCAAGAAGUACUCAUUUUCUACUUUCAUUUCCUUAUCUGUACUGAACCAUGUGACUGGCAGGGUUCACAGCUAACCCUUCAAGUUAGAGCACAUUCUGACUGCUCAUGGGAAUUACUUUCUUGUCAGCAUGCCCUUACAGGGGCUGGUUUCUCAUGGGCCCUCCCUGCCACCUCUCCUUGCCACUGCUGCGUGCCCUUCUUUCAAGCAAUGGCCUUGGCUCAUACCAGAUACAUGGGUCAUUGUAGGCUGUGGAGUUGAUUAAAAGGUGCAUGAUAAUUCAUUCUCAAAGAAUUUCUCUCUGAACCACCCUGUACUCAAUUACAGAAUUUAAAAAAAGAAAAAUAAAAAAAAGAGAUAAA